GGCCUGGGACGACUGGACCCAAGUGCAGCAUCGUUCGUCCGGAGACAGGCGAAGGGUCGGUCGAUCGGCGGUCAGGGUCAGAGCGAAGAUCCAUGGCCGAGGCCAGGGGUCUUAGCGAAGGGUUGGUCGAACGGUGGUCAGGGUCAGAGCGAAGAUCCGUGGCCGAGGUCAGGGGUCUUAGCGAAGGGUCGGUCGAACGGCGAGCAGGACAGGAACGAGAUCCGUAGACGUGGUCGGGAAACGAAGCGAAGAGUCGGAAAGCGGAGGACGUGAACGAAGAGUCACAAGAAAGGGCGGUCGUCCCUGACGAGAUUCCGCAAAGGUCUGGGAGUUGCGGAGUGUCUUAAAGGGUGGGUGCUGAACUGGAGUCGGGUGCUGUCGAUUGAGUUGUGGGUGUGGACGUGACAAUACUGUAAAUAUACAGUAUAUGCAUAUUUUGUUUUUUACCCCAAAGUUUAUGUCUUUUAUGUAUGUAAGCACAGUUGAAAACACAUUGACUUAGUGCAGGGAAAUGUGUGAAAUGCGGACCGAUGCCGGGACCGUCAACCUGAAGGGGGCACUGCUUGUUCACACUAUUUCCUUGCAGAAACACCAGGAGUUGAUCUGGUCCCCUCCCUGAGCCCAGCGUUAGUCCCUUUGCACUUCAUCUCUGUGCCGUGUUGCGUGGUAACAUGUUUUCAUCGUCAUUUUCGUCAUUUUACGCUCGUCAAGGCUGAAGGCGCUGCGGUAGCGUCCACGGUUUAGGGGAAAGCGUCUCGUUCACCCAAACACACACUCUGAGUGUAAGAUGUGGAAGAACUUUGUGCGCUUUCUACACUUUUUUUUUUUCUUCCAGUGUCGUGUCCUCCUUUUUUAUUACGGGGCUUUAGAGCUGACGUGGCACCAAAGGCCAACCUGUGGCCCUUGGCCUUCAAAGCCUGGACUUACCGUGCGCCGGGCGGGGGAUGUGGAACUCCGCAGAAGCAGGACAUGGUCUCUAUGGCAACGGCAGCCAAAACAGCAGUCAACACAUCACGGCGAGCGGCCCUAAGAGGGUGUGUGCGUUCCACUGACGCACGGAUGAGUGACCCAUCGUAAGUAGCGGAUCUAGCAGUGUAAGUCACCGCGGCGAAAAGGUGUGUGGGCUCAUAGUAACACUACAUAGAGUUCAUUGGAAGUCGCGUAAAACGUAUCUUGCUGAGCAAUGCAAGUGAAACCACGGCCAUAUUUUCCGAAGAAUUCGGGAGGCGCAGGUGUGCCGGUUCGUCCGAGAGGGGGACCGAACACACAAGAAAGUCUUUGUGCCCCAGAAGACGCCUCUGGACGGCGCGCAGAGGUGCGGAGCCUGUGGAAAUACCUGAUUCACUUUUCCAGCGUCGGCGCCCAAGCGAGCGCAUGCAGGCGGCGCUCUGACCGAGAGUGUGUGUAGCACCUCACACGCCGCACAAUCCACGCAUUAUUCCAGGCUUUCGCUGGACGGGGCUGGAAAAAUCCUCCCGUCUGAAGCGUGCUUGCUUUGGCGCGCCGGCCUUCGCCAAAGUGCCUUUUCAUCAAAAACCCGGCAGCUCCGGCUCCCUCCGAAAACGGGAGAGCUCUUUCGCUCUCCGGCCGUCCCCUCCGAAGAGAACGUUGUCGCUCCGUUGGUUCCGUUAUCGUCUUUUAAUUCUUCACUUGGCCUUCGGCCUUGGUCCGGGGCGACUUCGAGAUGAACUCGAUCGGUAAAAAUACAUGCGAGCGCCUUCUGCGGCACCAAAGCGGCGGCGCGGAGGGAACUUUGGACGAAGAGCAGAGGUGCGGCUGGCGCGAGAGCGACUGUUAACAACUGUUGUUUCGGCCCUUGGAACGGCCUCCGCGACCAUGUGAAAACAGAGUAACGUGAAGAAUUUCGAACGAAAGGCUCCGCACAAGAGCGCAGGAACUUCGGAAGCCGUGCUGCCUCCGUGAACGUGCACGCGCAGCUCAGGAAUGCGUGAUGCGUUGCGUUCGGAGGUGUUUGCAAAAUGAUCAUCAAGGCCCUUUCACAGCGAGUCUUAAACCUACCGAUGUAUGAUUGCUGACAUCAGCACUUAAGGACGCUUAUGGUUUUCUUUUGAAGCUAUAAUGCAAAGCAUAUGAAGGCAUUACAAGUGUCUUCUGCUGAGCCCUUUACUCAAAGUGUUACAACAACAUUCGCUUUUAAAGGCAUCGAGGGAGCUAGAAGGAGACAGCUGUGUUAUUUCCCCACUUUUAUUGGCUCACUUUGAGUCGAACGCCUCCGCAGGCUGUUUGCGACAGAAAGGAGUCGCCGUUGCGGCUCUUUUUCUUAAUCCGUUUACCAGCCGUUUGCUCCGCGUAAAGACAAAAAAGUCGUGCAGGUUCACAUGGAAAGCACCAAAAUUAGUUUUAAAAUUAGAAAUCGAUUUUUAAAAACUGUUUAAUAAUUUGGUUUGUCUUUCAAGCCGCCUACAGCGUUGGGCUCUUAUGCGUUGAGCUAGACGUCACAUUGCUGAGGUCGUGCACUUUUGGCGUUAUUCUCCGAGAUGCCCUUCGAACGUGAAUGCGAACGCAGCCGGGUGCUUCUCUACUGGAGGGUCCCACGGCAGCUUUUUAUCCCAAUCCCUCUUAAUUCCAAACGUACUGAAUGGAAAAAAAUGAUCUCGAGUUGCGAGCACGGUUGUCCUGUUUUCCCAUGAAACGCCACGAAAUCCAUGAUCGGCUGUAAAUACAGAGUGCAACGGUCCAAAUCAUAGAAACAUCCAGAAGCCUCAGCGUAUGGUCUUCAGUUUGCUAUUUCAAAGAAGGCUGGAAAAUUAGAGGGUUAUGGGUGGAAGACUCCAGUGUCACCCAUCUCGCGUGUCACUUAUCUGGCUCAGCCGGCUUCAAAGCUCUUUAAUUCGGCGCUCCGAUGCCCACAUCCUCCGGUUCGGAAAAGAGAAACAGAAAAAUGUAAAUGAGCCGAAGGAGUUUGCUCCAAGUCCUUGUGGGCAGCUGAGCUGUAGGAGCUGCCGGUAACAGAAUGCGCACAGAAAACGACCGCCUACAUUGUCCCUUUGUCAUGUGUUUGUGGGCGAAGCCCAUGAAAUAGGCGCCCGGUCAUUUUUGUCAUUUUUGUCUCUCUCCUUUUUGUCCCACAAGAUGGGCCACGAUGGGGAAAGGCUGCUGGCGAACACGAACUAAUACUAGCCGUCCCGGGUCGAAGAGCGCAGCUCUGUCCGAAGAUGCUUAUGAAAGAGAGAAACGGCGAGUCGCACGGACCUGAUAGUUGAGAACACAAUUUUCUCUUUGGCAGAGUGCAAAGAAGAUCUUUUUAUAUAGCGGAGAGCGAAAAACAGGAGGAGAAGAGUUCUUUCAGCAUAUUGUGGUAAUUCAAAUGAACUUCCUUAUAUGUUCAAGAAACCAGGAAAAAAACAGUUGGAAUAAAUCAAAAAUCAGAAUAUUCA
This 3398-nucleotide long non-coding RNA is filed under the name Scleropages formosus (Asian bonytongue). RNAcentral describes it as "lncRNA (ENSSFOG00015027275.1)". Lineage: Eukaryota; Metazoa; Chordata; Actinopteri; Osteoglossiformes; Osteoglossidae. The record is from RNAcentral.